This 604-nucleotide unclassified non-coding RNA is filed under the name Hevea brasiliensis (rubber tree). The record is from RNAcentral. Lineage: Eukaryota; Viridiplantae; Streptophyta; Magnoliopsida; Malpighiales; Euphorbiaceae.
CUGGCUUACUGUGUGCCAUCAUUAACUAAUACACAAGCUCAUCAAUUAUUUGACACUGUUGAAAUUAUUAUUAAUAAUAAUAAGGGGCUAAAACGUCAGUGCCUUUCUGGUUCUGGAAGUCCAAUGGACAAUUGAGUCUCCACCUCUGAAUUCUUGCCACUUAAGCUUAAGUAUCUGUCAACUUCUUUCUGUUGAGUUGGAUGCGGCCAUGGCUUCUCACUACACUUUUCACGAUAACUUGCAUUCUCAUCCAGCAAGAGCCUUUCCUUCGCUUUUAGUUUCUCUAUCUGCUCCUUGAACAACUCAUCCUUUCUUGCCCUGAUCUUGCUAAUGCUUUUCUCCAGCUGGCUGUGCAUCUCUUGGAGUUCUUCCAGAGAAGAAGAAGCUAAAUCUUGUCCCAAAAUCUUCCGCUGUGAAAUUUCAAGCUGCUCAAUCUUCUUCACCUUCUCAGUGGAUUCACUAACUAGAUGCUGAAUGUAUUGUUCUGUAUCAACGCGGUCAUCUUGCACUUCUUUUGCAUGUUUACCAUACCGUUCUAUGGUCUUUUGCAUGUCGUUGCUUGAGAACUCACAGAGCCUCCCUUUCUGUGAAAAGAUUAGUACUG